GUAGCAGAAGUUAAAGAUAAGCAAUAUAGUAAGAGAUGGUACUCGUGGAUAAUUAGUCUAGAGAUUCUCUGAGGAAGCCUUACAGACGCUGGUGGAGGUGCUGGACGGACCAUGAUGCGUGAGAGACAUCAGGAGUACGGAGAAAAGGCGUCAUUUGAAAAUAUUUGGAGGCCAGGAGAUGCUGAGCUGCUCAUCGCCGUCCGUUGAGUGACACAUCGCAGUUCCAGUCCCUCAGAGGGAGAAGAAUGUUCAGGGAUGGUGACAUCACUCGUAUUCCCCCAGUUCAGAAACUCCUGGAGGUCAGUGAGAGGAAGGACGAAAGCAUGAAUCCCCAGGUCGGUCUGCUGGAAAGAGACACACUGGUCGUCGUGUGCAGAAAGCAGGAUAGACGGCGAACCUGGCAACCCGCUGCGUGCUCCGAUAGGCAGGACCACUCUCCUCCUCCUCCUCCUCCUCCUCCCGCUCCGGGCCUUUUCCAUCCUCCACGUCUCCACACGUCGCCGCAGACGAUCGAACCGUCCGACCGGUUUCACCGCGGGACAGACUCCGGCCACUAGGUGGCGCCGAAACCACAGGAAGAUAGAAGUCACGUGUGUGUGAAGCCUGUGUUCUGUGUCCUGACCAGCAGAGGGCGACUCUGUGAGAACGUCAGUCGACUUCUCACUUGAUUCAUAACCUCAGUAAAACAUUUUCCUGAGGAGUUUAUGGUUCAAUCUCUAGUUUCAAGUCUUCUUCAAUAUAUGAUGAUCAUUUUUUUCCAAAAAAUGAUUUGAAUUCUACCUCAGCUUAAAAAAAAAUGUUUAAAGAAAUAUUUGGGGAAGUCUUGUUUUAGCAGUGCGUCGUCUAAUGUGUGACGGGAACUAUUAAAGUCACAUGGUCUCACGUCAA
Molecule: long non-coding RNA, 888 nt
Organism: Scophthalmus maximus (turbot)
Lineage: Eukaryota; Metazoa; Chordata; Actinopteri; Pleuronectiformes; Scophthalmidae
Exons: 4
Source: RefSeq, a predicted model, not a curated record